UGACAAAAAUUAUUAACAAAAUUCUCAUAGCAAGGUUCUCGAAAAAAGUCCUUUCAAAUUUCAACCCCAAAUAUCCCGACUUAUUUGGGUUUGAGAAAUUUUUUUAUCAGAUCAAUUGUGGUGCUUUAGAAUUCAGUAUGUAACGGAAACGUAAACUUCCCAAAUGUUGACACCGUGGUCAUAUUGAUGUGAAGGUUGAUUUCUCAAUUUGUCGCGGUUAUUAGGGUUUGAUUUUACAAACUUCAUCAGAGUGAUGUAGCAGCAUCUGAAGCAAACAAGGAAAGAGAUGAUCCAAAAAUAAGGAGGAGAAGGAAGUCGAGGCCAAGAAAUACGAUGACGAAAAGGAUGAUGUGGCUUGACUUCUUUAGAAGUAGCCUAAACUCACUCUUACAAGGCCCAUGAUACCUGACUUUGAAACAAAUAACCGCGUUCACUCUUACAACGUGAAAAGCGCCGCCGAGCUUGAGGAGUUAGAAAAGAUUCCAAAAUUCAAGGCUAGGCCACUGAAUAAAAAGGUCGAUCAGUUUAGAUUUCUUAGUUUUGGACAAGUACCAUGGAUACCGCUUAUACCUGCAAUAACGAUUAAUGGUAGAGGAAAAUCAUAAUAGGAGAAGACACUUGGACAUUGUGGAGCGACGAGUGACAACAGUCUUCUGGGUACUGUUAUGUGCAUGUUUGAUUGAACUACCUUUACUGUUGGCGAUAAGCGGCUGAUCCCCAACAAAAGAGAAGAGAUUAAACUACAUCGAGAGAUUUUUACACAGUAUUAUGGAAACUCAAGGAGUCCUGAUUGUAGCUUCAAGCUUGCAGAUCAUACUGGGAUUUAGUCAAGUAUGGGGGCUUUCUUCGCUGCACACAUUAAAUUCUUUUCUAAAGAUUGUGCUGGUUGCAUUCAUCAGAAGUUAUGCAACUGGUUCUAAGCAUCCUGUCUCUAUGGAACUUGGUGGUAAAAUUCCAAUUGUAGGUUUUUGAAGUUACAGAUCUUGAUAAAGCUGCCGAGAUGACUAUUUUUGGUUGCUUUUGGACAAAUAGCCAAAUCUAUAGUGCAACACCUCCCCUUCUACUGCAUUAAUGAAGUUUAUGUGCUUAGGGCCUGCAGUGGUGUACUAAGAUUCGUCAUGGAAAGUGGUAACAAGGGUUGUUAGGUUGUUUGCUUAACUGUAGAGUUCUCUUGAUAUCCUGGUUACUUUGGAGCUUACACCUUACUGAGAGGCAUGAUAGUCUCAAAGCAUUUUUUAUAUGUUUCUUUUGGUUUGGCAUCAACUCUACAGUUUUAACAUUUCAAUUCUUGCCUGUCACACGUUGUCGGAACAUCGUCUAUUGGUUUAUCAAUUAGUUUAGCAUGUUGUUGUUUGAACUUACUAGCUAGCUUGGACAUAUAUUGUUCUGAACUCAAAAUUUCCUCUUUUUUUGUGUAAUUUUAAACCCAAUGGAUAAAAUGAAUGAAUGUUAAAAUUUUCAGUUUGAUUAUAAAUUUCAGUCAAAUUUGAAGUUGUA
This is a long non-coding RNA of Papaver somniferum (opium poppy), 1497 nucleotides long. RefSeq lists it as uncharacterized. The record is from RefSeq and is a predicted model, not a curated record. The transcript is spliced from 11 exons. NCBI's taxonomy places the organism in Eukaryota, Viridiplantae, Streptophyta, Magnoliopsida, Ranunculales, Papaveraceae.